GAUGAACGCUGGCGGCGUGCCUAAUACAUGCAAGUCGAGCGAACAGACGAGGAGCUUGCUCCUCUGACGUUAGCGGCGGACGGGUGAGUAACACGUGGAUAACCUACCUAUAAGACUGGGAUAACUUCGGGAAACCGGAGCUAAUACCGGAUAACAUGUUGAACCGCAUGGUUCAACAGUGAAAGACGGUCUUGCUGUCACUUAUAGAUGGAUCCGCGCCGCAUUAGCUAGUUGGUAAGGUAACGGCUUACCAAGGCAACGAUGCGUAGCCGACCUGAGAGGGUGAUCGGCCACACUGGAACUGAGACACGGUCCAGACUCCGAAGGGAGGCAGCAGGAGGGAAUCUUCCGCAAUGGGCGAAAGCCUGACGGAGCAACGCCGCGUGAGUGAAGAAGGUCUGCGGAUCGUAAAACUCUGUUAUUAGGGAAGAACAAAUGUGUAAGUAACGAUGCACGUCUUGACGGUACCUAAUCAGAAAGCCACGGCGAACUACGU
This 496-nucleotide ribosomal RNA is filed under the name uncultured bacterium. RNAcentral describes it as "partial 16S ribosomal RNA". It matches the Rfam family "Bacterial small subunit ribosomal RNA", at positions 28 to 506 of the family's 1533-position model. The record is from RNAcentral.